RNAcentral lists this ribosomal RNA (759 nucleotides) under uncultured Lysobacteraceae bacterium. RNAcentral describes it as "bacterial SSU rRNA". It matches the Rfam family "Bacterial small subunit ribosomal RNA", at positions 28 to 776 of the family's 1533-position model. Lineage: Bacteria; Pseudomonadati; Pseudomonadota; Gammaproteobacteria; Lysobacterales; Lysobacteraceae. The record is from RNAcentral.
AGUGAACGCUGGCGGCAGGCCUAACACAUGCAAGUCGAACGGCAGCACAGGGGAGCUUGCUCCCUGGGUGGCGAGUGGCGGACGGGUGAGGAAUGCAUCGGAAUCUGCCUUCUUGUGGGGGAUAACCUGGGGAAACCCAGGCUAAUACCGCAUGCGCCCUACGGGGGAAAGCCGGGGACCUUCGGGCCUGGCGCGGGAAGAUGAGCCGAUGCCGGAUUAGCUAGUUGGCGGGGUAAAGGCCCACCAAGGCGACGAUCCGUAGCUGGUCUGAGAGGAUGAUCAGCCACACUGGGACUGAGACACGGCCCAGACUCCUACGGGAGGCAGCAGUGGGGAAUAUUGGACAAUGGGCGCAAGCCUGAUCCAGCCAUGCCGCGUGAGUGAAGAAGGCCUUCGGGUUGUAAAGCUCUUUUGUACGGGAAGAUACACGGCCGGCGAAUACCCGGCUGGACUGACGGUACCGUAAGAAUAAGCACCGGCUAACUUCGUGCCAGCAGCCGCGGUAAUACGAAGGGUGCAAGCGUUACUCGGAAUUACUGGGCGUAAAGCGUGCGCAGGUGGUGCGUUAAGUCCGAUGUGAAAGCCCUGGGCUCAACCUGGGAAUGGCAUUGGAUACUGGCGUGCUCGAGUACGGUAGAGGGUGGCGGAAUUCCCGGUGUAGCAGUGAAAUGCGUAGAGAUCGGGAGGAACAUCCGUGGCGAAGGCGGCCACCUGGACCAGUACUGACACUGAGGCACGAAAGCGUGGGGAGCAAACAGG